Molecule: ribosomal RNA, 963 nt
Filed under: Triticum aestivum (bread wheat)
Lineage: Eukaryota; Viridiplantae; Streptophyta; Magnoliopsida; Poales; Poaceae
Description: partial small subunit ribosomal RNA
Source: RNAcentral
AUGGACUCCAAAUAUAAUACCAAGAGACCUAAUAUCCUUUGCUGUAAUGACCCUCACCCAUCACAAUUUUGGAAAGGGGUGAUGUGGGCUAUGAAAGCAGUUAAACUGGGAUACAAAUGGUCUGUUGGGAAUGGUAGAUCUGUUAGGUUUUGGAAGGAUAUUUGGUUCGGUAACUCUCCACUUGCCACCCAGUUCUGGGAUUUGUAUUGUAUAGUUAAUGAUAAAAACAAAACCAUUGCAGAUACCUGGGAUGGAGAUAUUUUAAAGAUUUCCUUUAGAAGGAAUUUUGAUGAGGUGUUAAUGCAACAAUGGUUUGAUCUAGAAUCCGUUGCCAAAUCGAUUACUUUUACUGACCAGGAAGAUAAUUUGAUUUGGCAAUAUGAAUCUAAAGGCAUCUAUUCCUCUAAUUCUUUGUAUGCUAUUAUUAACUUUAGAGGGGUGCAACCUAUUUACACACCUGUGGUGUGGAGAUUGAAAAUACCACCCAGGGUGCAGGGUUUUCUUUGGUUGUUUUCACAGAAUAAAAUUAUGACCUGUGAUAACCUAAGAAAAAGAGGCAUACCCAAACCUCUGGAGUGUGUUCACUGUAAGGAAAUAGAAUCAGUUCAUCAUCUGUUUUUUGACUGUGUAGUUGCUAGAUUAAUGUGGAAAGAGGUAGAGAUUAUUUUUGAUAAAACUUUCCGUUCUUUCGGUAAGUUAGCUGCUUGCUGGCUCUGUGAGAAGAGAUUUGCCCAUCUGAAUGUAGUUUCUUCUGCUGUCCUUUGGGGUCUGUGGAAUACUAGAAACUCCAUUGUGUUUAAUAGAACUAAAUGGAUUUCUGUCAAACUGGUCUGGCAGAAGACAAGUUCAUACUUGGGGGACUGGAUGAAACUGCACAAGGAGCUGCAGGAAGGGGCGAUGAAACUCUUCAGAGACCACAUGUUGAGAAAGCUGAGAUCACCGCUGGAACUGGAACCAGACUGA